CUUAACUCGCCUCAAAGUGAAAGUUUGUUGCUUUGACCUUUUGAUUGUGACUGCAGAGUCGGAGUCCUGAGGCAAGGAAACCAAAUGACCACAGCAUAUCAAAUGGAAGGGAGUGGGACUCUUGUCUUCCUAGAUGGCAGAGAGAUCUUAUCUCUCUCACAGCUUCAGAGAGUCAUCUCACAGUUCCUGAGGCGGCGAAGGAUCCGUGUAAAUUUACCGUGAAGGCUCUUAGAAGUGCUAUUCAAGAGGGAGAUUUCCUUUAAAGCUCUCAUUUAAAACCUUCAGAAGACAAAAAAAAAAAGUGCUCUUUCCUCACGAGGCCCAACAUCCAUUUUCCCAUUUCUGCUCACGAUCCUCAAAUGCUCGCCGGUACCUUUUUCAAAAUUGUGAAUUAAGUGACUUAAAUUGUUUGUCUUACUCUACUGUCAGUUAUCGGAUGAAAUCUGAGUGUCCAUCUCACCCAAUUUGUUUUGCGACUCAUACGUAACUAUUACAAAAGGUGCAAACAUUCACUGAUUCUCAGGAAGGCAACACUACAUUAAGAGUCAGGGGGAUGUAAACUUUUGAACAGGAUUAUUUUGUUUAAAGAUCUUAUGUUUUAAUGUAGUACUGCCCAGCAGAAACUACAUAAGAUAUUUACAUGUUUCCCAGAAUACAGUAUAUUAACAAUUUACACUGAUUAUUCUGUUCAAAAUUAUACACCUCCCACCCCCUGACUGUAUCAUGUUACCUUCUUCAACAUCAGUGAAUGUUUACACUGGAAUGAUACCA
This is a long non-coding RNA of Ictalurus punctatus (channel catfish), 771 nucleotides long. The record is from Ensembl. Lineage: Eukaryota; Metazoa; Chordata; Actinopteri; Siluriformes; Ictaluridae.